Molecule: non-coding RNA, 214 nt
Organism: Pelobates cultripes (western spadefoot toad)
Lineage: Eukaryota; Metazoa; Chordata; Amphibia; Anura; Pelobatidae
Source: the annotation of a GenBank genome assembly
CCGCAUGAGGGCCUCAGCCACCGUUUCUGCGUGCAUGUUAGUCAGCGUCACCGCCUCUGCAUAUCUGGUAGCAUAGUCCACUACUGUUAAUAUAUAUUUCUUGCCAGAGAGUCUAGCCUUAUUUAAGGGGCCUACUAUGUCCACCGCUAUCCGGCUGAACGGUUCAUCCACUAUGGGUAAGAGAUGUAACUUGGAUUUUCUGCGGUCCUCCCUU